This is a long non-coding RNA of Salvia miltiorrhiza (redroot sage), 1121 nucleotides long. RefSeq lists it as uncharacterized. NCBI's taxonomy places the organism in Eukaryota, Viridiplantae, Streptophyta, Magnoliopsida, Lamiales, Lamiaceae. The transcript is spliced from 5 exons. The record is from RefSeq and is a predicted model, not a curated record.
ACAGGAAUUGGGCGCCAUUUAUCUUCUGCCGUUUCUGCACCAUGGAAGCCAUCUCCAUUGCCUCUCUCUCUAGAAAUCCCUAUCCUUGUACAAUUCCACACACUCUCUUUUAUCUCUUCAUUCUAUCGUCAAUGGCCCAUCUGCAUCUGGACCAAAAUUUAUGUUGGAGGAAAACACCACCAAAACCCACACAUAUUAUAAAUGGAAAGUUUUACGUUAUUAGGAAAUCAAUAGUGGAGGAUAUUCAUAUACAUAUGAUAUACACAACAUGUCUUCUUGCACCCAACCACAUAUACCCUCUCCUCCUCCUUCCUCUCUCUCACUAAAACCUUCUACAGAGACAAACAGACUACUCCUUCCACUCCCAACUUGUUCUCUGCAUGAGUUCAUGUGUGUGCUGUGUUGAAUAUACAUAAUUUGGGCCUUCGGAAUUCUGCGGAGAAACGGAUUAAUUGAAGCGGAAUUAUGAAGCGGGCUUCUGUUAAUUUUGAUCAAUCACAUUCCGCCGUUGAUGAAGCUAAGGAAAAGUUCAAAUAUCAAACGCUUUUGAGAGAAUAUCUGGAACUGCAAAAGGAAUAUGUUUCUAGGAAGAGAAAAUUGCAGGCUGCAAAGCAAAAGAGAGAAUUAACAUUAUCUGAAGUUAGAUUUUUGAGAAGGAAGCAUAGAUAUUUAUUGAAAAGCCAAGCUCCCAAUGAAACAAGAAAAGCAUCUACAUUGCAGGAAUGGAAGAAAUCCCAGCACCAUUGAUCAUCUCCAGCUCACAAAUUCGCUACCGGUAGAUAUAAUGAAAGAUGACGAGGCAGAAGAGGAUGUAAGAUGCAAGAAAAAGAAAAAGAUAAAGAAUCACUUGAUUCAAGAUAAAGUUGAGGGCAAAAGGAAGACCAGUUGGCCUGAUCAAGUCACUUUGAAUGUCUAGUUCAGUUGCGCUGCACUCUGAUCAACAAAUUUUUGGCAAAAGAUUUGAGUAUUUCAAGUUUUAGGUAAUUUUUUAUGUUAUUUAAUUUGUAUUUAGUAACCCAUUGUAUUACUAAAGUUACAAAAACUAAAGCCGUUUGUUUUAUUAUGUUUGUUUAUUACCUUGAAGAUAUAAAUAUAUAAACUUAUUGUAUGUUUUACACCAA